RNAcentral lists this ribosomal RNA (468 nucleotides) under uncultured bacterium. RNAcentral's name for it is "partial 16S ribosomal RNA". It matches the Rfam family "Bacterial small subunit ribosomal RNA", at positions 28 to 507 of the family's 1533-position model. The record is from RNAcentral.
GACGAACGCUGGCGGCGUGCUUAACACAUGCAAGUCGAACGGAAAGGCCCUGCUUUUGUGGGGUGCUCGAGUGGCGAACGGGUGAGUAACACGUGAGUAACCUGCCCUUGACUUUGGGAUAACUUCAGGAAACUGGGGCUAAUACCGGAUAGGAGCUCCUGCUGCAUGUUGGGGGUUGGAAAGUUUCGGCGGUUGGGGAUGGAAUCGCGGCUUAUCAGCUUGUUGGUGGGGUAGUGGCUUACCAAGGCUUUGACGGCUAGCCGGCCUGGGAGGGGGACCGGGCACCAUGGGACUAAGAGACGGACCAGACGCGUACGGGAGGCAGCAGGGGGGAACAUUGCACAAUGGGCGGGAGCCUGUGGCAGCAACGCCGCGUGCGGGAUGACGGCCUUCUGGUUGUAAACCGCUUUCGCCUGUGACGAAGCGUGAGUGACGGUAAUGGGUAAAGAAGCACCGGCUAACUACGUG